RNAcentral lists this ribosomal RNA (341 nucleotides) under Nematoda environmental sample. RNAcentral describes it as "bacterial SSU rRNA". It matches the Rfam family "Eukaryotic small subunit ribosomal RNA", at positions 1300 to 1665 of the family's 1831-position model. Lineage: Eukaryota; Metazoa; Nematoda. The record is from RNAcentral.
GGUGGAGUGAUUUGUCUGGUUUAUUCCGAUAACGAACGAGACUCUAACCUGCUAAAUAGUUCGCCGGUAGCUUAGCCGGUGUGACUUCUUAGAGGGAUCAGCGGUGUUCAGCCGCACGAAAUUGAGCAAUAACAGGUCUGUGAUGCCCUUAGAUGUUCGGGGCUGCACGCGCGCUACACUGAAAGGAUCAACAUGAUAUGCUCCUGUUCCGAAAGGAUCGGGCAAUCCUCUGAAAACCUUUCAUGAUUGGGAUAGGGAAUUGCAAUUAUUUCCCUUGAACGAGGAAUUCCCAGUAAGUGUGAGUCAUCAGCUCACGUUGAAUACGUCCCUGCCCUUUGUAC